AUAGUACUUUUAUCCUGCCUGGGAUGUGAGUUAAAUGUUCAAGGUAUCGGAUGGGCAUGCGUCCUAUUAGUUAGUUGGCGGGGUAACAGCCCACCAAGACGAUGAUAGGUAGGGGUUCUGAGAGGAAGGUCCCCCACAUUGGAACUGAGACACGGUCCAAACUCCUACGGGAGGCAGCAGUGAGGAAUAUUGGUCAAUGGACGUAAGUCUGAACCAGCCAAGUCGCGUGAGGGAAGACUGCCCUAUGGGUUGUAAACCUCUUUUAUAAGGGAAGAAUAAGUUCUACGUGUAGAAUGAUGCCUGUACCUUAUGAAUAAGCAUCGGCUAACUCCGUGCCAGCAGCCGCGGUAAUACGGAGGAUGCGAGCGUUAUCCGGAUUUAUUGGGUUUAAAGGGUGCGUAGGCGGUUUAUUAAGUUAGUGGUUAAAUAUUUGAGCUAAACUCAAUUGUGCCAUUAAUACUGGUAAACUGGAGUACAGACGAGGUAGGCGGAAUAAGUUAAGUAGCGGCGAAAUGCAUAGAUAUAACUUAGAACUCCGAUAGCGAAGGCAGCUUACCAGACUGUAACUGACGCUGAUGCACGAGAGCGUGGGUAGCGAACAGGAUUAGAUACCCUGGUAGUCCACGCCGUAAACGAU
This 637-nucleotide ribosomal RNA is filed under the name uncultured bacterium. RNAcentral's name for it is "bacterial SSU rRNA". It matches the Rfam family "Bacterial small subunit ribosomal RNA", at positions 173 to 810 of the family's 1533-position model. The record is from RNAcentral.